AAAUCUGAAUUCAUUCACUAUAAAAGGAGGCCUCGUUGAAAUUCUCCAACACACAAAAAACAUACAUCAUCAAGCAAGAAAUAACAUUGAAUCAUUCUUGCACUUUUUCCACAUUUUCACUCAAGGAAGCUAAAGGGAUCAUUAUUUGUCGUCUGGAAGUGCUUUUGAAGGUGAAACUGACACACUCUGUUAUGUAAAAAAGCUCAUUUUGAACUUGUCAUACCCCAAAAUUUU
This 234-nucleotide long non-coding RNA is filed under the name Lathyrus oleraceus (garden pea). Its description in RNAcentral is "Pisum sativum (pea) long non-coding RNA (PSAT_LNC016311)". The record is from RNAcentral. Lineage: Eukaryota; Viridiplantae; Streptophyta; Magnoliopsida; Fabales; Fabaceae.